GAUGAAGAACGCAGCGAAAUGCGAUAAGUAAUGUGAAUUGCAGAAUUCAGUGAAUCAUCGAAUCUUUGAACGCAUCUUGCGCUCCUUGGUAUUCUGAGGAGCAUGCCUGUUUGAGUGUCAUUAAAUUCUCAACUACACUGACUUUGAAUUGGUGUGCUUGGAUUUGGGGGGAAAAUUGUUGUGGGCUUUUUGUAUAGUCUGCUCCCCUGAAAUUGAUUAGCGGUACCUUUGUGGAACUGUCUACAGGUGUGAUAAUUAUCUACAUCUUAGACAUCUGCUGGAAUGCUGCUUUCUAAACCUUACUUGUAUUGACAAUCUUGACCUCAAAUCAGGUAGGACUACCCGCUGAACUUAAGCAUAUCAAUAAGCGGAGGA
RNAcentral lists this unclassified non-coding RNA (375 nucleotides) under soil metagenome. Its description in RNAcentral is "partial contains 5.8S ribosomal RNA, internal transcribed spacer 2, and large subunit ribosomal RNA". The stretch from base 1 to 120 matches the Rfam family "5.8S ribosomal RNA", at positions 35 to 154 of the family's 154-position model. The record is from RNAcentral.